RNAcentral lists this ribosomal RNA (390 nucleotides) under Triticum aestivum (bread wheat). RNAcentral describes it as "partial small subunit ribosomal RNA". The record is from RNAcentral. Lineage: Eukaryota; Viridiplantae; Streptophyta; Magnoliopsida; Poales; Poaceae.
AUGCUUAAACGACGACAUUACAAUAUUGGAGAUGUUCAUGAUUGCAUUCUUUGUGGAUUACAAAUCGAAGAGACGUUGGAGCAUCUCUUCUUCGAGUGCCAUUUCAGCUCUGACUGCUGGUCCCACAUUGGUCUCUCUUGGCUUCCGGGCAACACAAGAUUAAACAACAUCUCCAAAGCAAAAGAAGACUGGAAUAGGCCACUUUUUAUGGAGCUAUUUUUGUUGGCCGCUUGGAGUAUAUGGAAGGAGCGCAAUAACAAGUACUUUAGAAGGAUCAUACCCUCCAAAAACUCCUGGUUGGAUAGACUUAAGGCUGAUUUUUCCCUGCUCAUCCAUAGGGUUAGGGACGAACACAAACAAUACAUUCCACUCAUCCUUGCAUCCUUGUAA